UGGGGAAUAUUGGACAAUGGGCGAAAGCCUGAUCCAGCCAUGCCGCGUGUGUGAAGAAGGUCUUCGGAUUGUAAAGCACUUUAAGUUGGGAGGAAGGGCAGUAAGUUAAUACCUUGCUGUUUUGACGUUACCGACAGAAUAAGCACCGGCUAACUCUGUGCCAGCAGCCGCGGUAAUACAGAGGGUGCAAGCGUUAAUCGGAAUUACUGGGCGUAAAGCGCGCGUAGGUGGUUUGUUAAGUUGGAUGUGAAAGCCCCGGGCUCAACCUGGGAACUGCAUCCAAAACUGGCAGGCUAGAGUACGGUAGAGGGUGGUGGAAUUUCCUGUGUAGCGGUGAAAUGCGUAGAUAUAGGAAGGAACACCAGUGGCGAAGGCGACCACCUGAACUGAUACUGACACUGAGGUGCGAAAGCGUGGGGAGCAAACA
This 427-nucleotide ribosomal RNA is filed under the name uncultured bacterium. RNAcentral's name for it is "partial 16S ribosomal RNA". It matches the Rfam family "Bacterial small subunit ribosomal RNA", at positions 355 to 774 of the family's 1533-position model. The record is from RNAcentral.